RNAcentral lists this unclassified non-coding RNA (329 nucleotides) under soil metagenome. RNAcentral's name for it is "partial contains 5.8S ribosomal RNA, internal transcribed spacer 2, and large subunit ribosomal RNA". The stretch from base 1 to 120 matches the Rfam family "5.8S ribosomal RNA", at positions 35 to 154 of the family's 154-position model. The record is from RNAcentral.
GAUGAAGAACGUAGCGAAAUGCGAUAAGUAGUGUGAAUUGCAGAAUUCAGUGAAUCAUCGAAUCUUUGAACGCACAUUGCGCCCCUUGGUAUCCCGAGGGGCAUGCCUGUUCGAGCGUCAUUUCACCACUCAAGCCUGGCUUGGUGUUGGGCGACGUCCUCUUUGGGGACGCGCCUCGAAACGCUCGGCGGCGUGGCACCGGCUUUAAGCGUAGCAGAAUCUUUCGCUUUGGAAGUCGGGGCCCCGUCUGCCGGAAGACCUGCUCGCACGGUUGACCUCGGAUCAGGCAGGGAUACCCGCUGAACUUAAGCAUAUCAAUAAGCGGAGGA